UUGUACACACCGCCCGUCACACCAUGGGAGUUGGUAAUGCCCAAAGUGGUGAGUUAACUUCGGAGACCAUUGCCUAAGGAGGACUGAUGACUGGGGUAAAGUGUAACAAAGGUAUCCUACGAGAACGUGGGGAUGGAACACUCUUUCUACGGAGU
Molecule: ribosomal RNA, 155 nt
Filed under: chlamydia-associated clinical sample 43-T
Lineage: Bacteria
Description: partial 16S ribosomal RNA
Rfam family: Bacterial small subunit ribosomal RNA
Source: RNAcentral